GAGUUUGAUCGUGGCUCAGAUUGAACGCUGGCGGCAGGCCUAACACAUGCAAGUCGAGCGGAUGAAGGGAGCUUGCUCCUGGAUUCAGCGGCGGACGGGUGAGUAAUGCCUAGGAAUCUGCCUGGUAGUGGGGAUAACGUCCGGAAACGGGCGCUAAUACCGCAUACGUCCUGAGGGAGAAAGUGGGGGAUCUUCGGACCUCACGCUAUCAGACGAGCCUAGGUCGGAUUAGCUAGUUGGUGGGGUAAAGGCCUACCAAGGCGACGAUCCGUAACUGGUCUGAGAGGAUGAUCAGUCACACUGGAACUGAGACACGGUCCAGACUCCUACGGGAGGCAGCAGUGGGGAAUAUUGGACAAUGGGCGAAAGCCUGAUCCAGCCAUGCCGCGUGUGUGAGAAGGUCUUCGGAUUGUAAAGCACUUUAAGUUGGGUAGGAAGGGCGAGUAAGUUAAUACCUUGUCUGUUUUGUACGUUACCGAACAGAAUAAGCACCGGCUAACUUCGUGCC
This 508-nucleotide ribosomal RNA is filed under the name uncultured microorganism. Its description in RNAcentral is "bacterial SSU rRNA". It matches the Rfam family "Bacterial small subunit ribosomal RNA", at positions 9 to 509 of the family's 1533-position model. The record is from RNAcentral.